Molecule: unclassified non-coding RNA, 265 nt
Filed under: fungal sp.
Lineage: Eukaryota; Fungi
Description: partial contains small subunit ribosomal RNA, internal transcribed spacer 1, and 5.8S ribosomal RNA
Rfam family: Eukaryotic small subunit ribosomal RNA (bases 1-47)
Source: RNAcentral
AAAGUCGUAACAAGGUUUCCGUAGGUGAACCUGCGGAAGGAUCAUUAACACGUAUCCAUACGUAUUAUAUACCAAACCGUGAACUCGUUUGUAACAUGUGAAGAAUUGGAACGAGGGUAAAACCGAGUUCUAGUUCUGUAUCUUAUUACAACUUAUAAACCACUAGUAAACCAUUGAACUAAACCUAAGAAAUGUAAAGCUUGCUUUACAUAUCUGUAUUUACGAAACGUAAAAACAAUUCUUAGCAACGGAUAUCUUGGUUCUC